AACGCACAUUGCGCCUCCUGGUAUUCCGGGAGGCAUGCCUGUUCGAGCGUCAUGAAGAGGAUAUUUCAAGCUCUUUUUGCUUGGUCCUGAAGGUUGAGUGUUGCCCUUGUACUCAUUCACCUUUGAAAUUUACUGGCGGACUGCUUCGUGUUCCUUUUGGCGUUAUAGGAUAACUCUUUCGCUUGGACUCGAUGGCCUGUCCUGCCCCAAAACCCCCAACUAUUUUGACGUUGACCUCGGAUCAGGUAGGGAUACCCGCUGAACUUAA
RNAcentral lists this unclassified non-coding RNA (268 nucleotides) under uncultured Otidea. RNAcentral describes it as "partial contains 5.8S ribosomal RNA, internal transcribed spacer 2, and large subunit ribosomal RNA". The stretch from base 1 to 52 matches the Rfam family "5.8S ribosomal RNA", at positions 103 to 154 of the family's 154-position model. The record is from RNAcentral. Lineage: Eukaryota; Fungi; Ascomycota; Pezizomycetes; Pezizales; Pyronemataceae.